This 845-nucleotide ribosomal RNA is filed under the name uncultured Bacillota bacterium. RNAcentral's name for it is "bacterial SSU rRNA". It matches the Rfam family "Bacterial small subunit ribosomal RNA", at positions 58 to 935 of the family's 1533-position model. The record is from RNAcentral. Lineage: Bacteria; Bacillati; Bacillota.
CAAGUCGAACGAGAAAGGGGAGCAAUCCCCGAGUACAGUGGCGUACGGGUGAGUAACACGUGGAUGAUCUAUCUCUUAGUGGGGAAUAACCCUGGGAAACCGGGGAUAAUACCGCAUAAGCUCGAGAGAGGAAAGCAGCAAUGCGCUGAGAGAGGAGUCCGCGGCCGAUUAGCUAGUUGGCAGGGUAAAAGCCUACCAAGGCAGAGAUCGGUAGCCGGCCUGAGAGGGCACACGGCCACACUGGCACUGAAACACGGGCCAGACUCCUACGGGAGGCAGCAGUGGGGAAUCUUGCACAAUGGGGGCAACCCUGAUGCAGCGACGCCGCGUGAGCGAUGAAGCCCUUCGGGGUGUAAAGCUCUUUCGGCAGGGAAGAUAAUGACGGUACCUGCAGAAGCAGCUGCGGCUAACUACGUGCCAGCAGCCGCGGUAAUACGUAGGCAGCGAGCGUUGUUCGGAGUUACUGGGCGUAAAGGGUGUGUAGGCGGUUGUUUAAGUUUGGUGUGAAAUCUCCCGGCUCAACUGGGAGGGUGCGCCGAAUACUGAAUGACUUCGAGUACGGGAGAGGUGAGUGGAAUUCCUGGUGUAGCGGUGAAAUGCGUAGAUAUCAGGAGGAACACCGGUGGUGUAGACGGCUCACUGGACCGUAACUGACGCUGAGACACGAAAGCGUGGGUAGCAAACAGGAUUAGAUACCCUGGUAGUCCACGCCCUAAACGAUGCAUAUUUGGUGUGGGCAGUUCAUUCUGUCCGUGCCGGAGCUAACGCGUUAAAUAUGCCGCCUGGGGAGUACAGUCGCAAGGCUGAAACUCAAAGGAAUUGACGGGGGCCCGCACAAGCGGUGG